This 253-nucleotide ribosomal RNA is filed under the name Alistipes indistinctus YIT 12060. RNAcentral's name for it is "partial 16S ribosomal RNA". It matches the Rfam family "Bacterial small subunit ribosomal RNA", at positions 524 to 776 of the family's 1533-position model. Lineage: Bacteria; Pseudomonadati; Bacteroidota; Bacteroidia; Bacteroidales; Rikenellaceae. The record is from RNAcentral.
UACGGAGGACCCGAGCGUUAUCCGGAUUUAUUGGGUUUAAAGGGUGCGUAGGCGGAUUGGUAAGUUAGAGGUGAAAGCUCAGCGCUUAACGUUGAAAUUGCCUCUAAUACUGUUGGUCUAGAGUAUAGUUGCGGAAGGCGGAAUGUGUGGUGUAGCGGUGAAAUGCUUAGAUAUCACACAGAACACCGAUUGCGAAGGCAGCUUUCCAAGCUAUCACUGACGCUGAUGCACGAAAGCGUGGGGAGCGAACAGG